CCGCCGCGCGCGGCGGGCCUACGGGAGGCAGCAGUGGGGAAUAUUGCACAAUGGGCGCAAGCCUGAUGCAGCCAUGCCGCGUGUAUGAAGAAGGCCUUCGGGUUGUAAAGUACUUUCAGCGGGGAGGAAGGUGUUGAGGUUAAUAACCUCAGCGAUUGACGUUACCCGCAGAAGAAGCACCGGCUAACUCCGUGCCAGCAGCCGCGGUAUA
This 211-nucleotide ribosomal RNA is filed under the name uncultured Enterobacter sp. RNAcentral's name for it is "partial 16S ribosomal RNA". It matches the Rfam family "Bacterial small subunit ribosomal RNA", at positions 312 to 524 of the family's 1533-position model. Lineage: Bacteria; Pseudomonadati; Pseudomonadota; Gammaproteobacteria; Enterobacterales; Enterobacteriaceae. The record is from RNAcentral.